RNAcentral lists this ribosomal RNA (261 nucleotides) under uncultured bacterium. Its description in RNAcentral is "partial 16S ribosomal RNA". It matches the Rfam family "Bacterial small subunit ribosomal RNA", at positions 333 to 610 of the family's 1533-position model. The record is from RNAcentral.
GAUAUCCUACGGGGGGCAGCAGUGGGGUAUAUUGCACAGUGGGGGAAACCCUGAUGCAGCGACGCCGCGUGUGGGAAGACGGUCCCCUGGAUUGUAAACCCCUGUCCCCAGGGACGAAGAUGACGGUACCUGGGGAGGAAGCUCCGGCUAACCACGUGCCAGCAGCCGCGGUAAUACGUAGGGAGCGAGCGUUGUCCGGAAUUACUGGGUGUAAAGGGAGCGUAGGCGGGACUGCAAGUUGGGGGUCAAAUCUACAGGCGC